UGGGGCAAAGUAAUCCAAGUCUUAAAAGAAAAUAACCUCCAACCAAGACUGAUGUAUCCUGAACAAUUGUCCCUCUAAAUUAAUGGAGAAACAAGAUGCUUCCAAGAUAAAGAGGAACUGGGGGAAUUCGCAACCACCAAUCCAACUCUACAGAGAAUACUACAGGACAUUCUAAAGAAAGAGAAAAGCACCAGGAUUUCAGGAACAGUGGCAGAGAGACCCCAACAAAUGGAACAAAAAGCAAAAUAAAGAAGACAACAGGUGUGCCUGGAAAAUUUAAGGUCGUGCUGAGACUGCAGCUAUUGAUAACGGGAGUCGGCAAAUCCUGGAACCUUAACACAGCACAGUGAGCAGUGGAUCCAAGGGGAAAAGCUGUAUUGGCUCUUGGCGACUACUGGAAAUUGAGACCUGGGGUCCUGCAAAGUAGCCAAAGCCACCUCGCUGCACCAGAGAGACUGUGAGAAGCUCUGGAGCUCCAAAGCCAGACAACAGACAGUUUUUUUUCUCCAAUCCACGCUGUGCUGGGAAUGCAGUUAAGACAAGCAAUACAGUGUGCAGUGGACCCAAGAGGAAGAUCUGCAUUGAGUCCAGUGAGUACUAAGGGCUGGGUCCCACAGCUGCUGCUGCUGGCUGGAGGACAUCUUGGAAUUGGGUAGAACCCAGCACCACAGCAGCAUCAGUGGCACAGAGAAGACUGGUGGAAGACAUCUUGGUGUUGGGGAGGGUCCGCACUGUGGUGACAUCAGAUAGUCACCCUUGUUCCUGGUGGAGGACAUCUUGAAAUUGGGCAGAGCCCGGUGCCAUGAUGGCAUCAGUGACACAGAGAGGACUGGUGGAGAGCAUCUUGGAAUUGGGCAGACUCCAGCACCAAGGUGACAUCAGAUAGUCAUACCUGGCGCAGAGAGGUCUGAUAGAGGACAGCUGAGAUUUGGGCAGAGCCCUGUACCACGGUGACAUCAGUCAGCUGCUUCUGACACAGAGAGGACUGGCAGGGUCUACUGGGGCUGAACCAUGCCUCUGGUUGGGACCCAAUAAGCACAUACAAAAUAGUCAAGACUCUUGAGGAUUGACUGGCACAGAGGCUGGAGGCUAGUCUGCACUGUUCCUGCAUCCCUGCCUACCUCAGAUAACAGCAAGUUAGAGAGGGCAGCAAAAACUCCAGUCAGCAUGCUUCGGAAAGAUCCUAAGCAAUAUGGAGAGGGCCAGAGACUCCCACGACACAGCAGUCUGAAAGAAACCAGAAACAUGCCAAGAGAUAGAAAUUUUUAAAAAUCUCCAAUUGCUGAACCUGGGAAAAUAAGCCCAGGAAAAGUAAACACAGAAGAGAACCAGCACAGUAACCAUCCAAUACUAGACACAGCAUCAGCCAAAAUAAAGAAAUACCUUCAUGACCUCAUAGAUGAAUUUAAAACUGUACUUCUGAUCCAAGUGAGGCAAGAUAUAAAGAGAUUUAUUAAAGAAAUGAUAAGUCCCUCCCAAGAGAACACAGAUGGAAGAAUGGAGGAAAUCAGAAAAAAAAGAGAAAACCCUGAUGAAGAAUUUAAACAUAACCUAGAAUACAUGAAACAGAUACAAAGAGAUUACCAGGAAACUAAAAACUCCCUUGAAAACUGGUGAAAUGCCUUGACAGAAACUAAAGUUAGCCUUUUGAAACUUGAAGAGAGAUUUAUGAUAUAUGAUCAUAAAAGAAAAGACCUCUUAAAAAUAACAAGGAACUAGAAAAAAACAAUUCAAAGGAUAGAAGAUGACAAAAGGACACAUAACUUAAGAAUAAAGCACGUGAGCGAGAAAGCAGGAGUAACCAAAAAUGAAAUACAAAGAAUAUUCACAGAUAUAUUAAAGGAAAACUUCCCAAGCAUAGGAAAAAGAAAUGAUAUCCAGAUAAAUGAGGCAUACAGAACUCUAGCCACCUACAACCAAAA
This is a long non-coding RNA of Cavia porcellus (domestic guinea pig), 1922 nucleotides long. RefSeq lists it as uncharacterized. The transcript has 2 exons. NCBI's taxonomy places the organism in Eukaryota, Metazoa, Chordata, Mammalia, Rodentia, Caviidae. The record is from RefSeq and is a predicted model, not a curated record.